This 1690-nucleotide long non-coding RNA is filed under the name Equus asinus (donkey). RNAcentral describes it as "lncRNA (ENSEASG00005034067.1)". The record is from RNAcentral. Lineage: Eukaryota; Metazoa; Chordata; Mammalia; Perissodactyla; Equidae.
CCUGAAGCAGCAACAAAAGGCAUGUGGGUAAAUAAAACGAUUCCUUAUUUUCUUGUAUUUCAAUCAGUAUUUGGAAAUCUUUUUGGGAAGACAACUAAAAAUCAGAUAUUAUUGCAAAGUUUUGUUAAAUUUUUCUUAUAUCAAUAAUUUAAAAUCAGUGAAUUUAUGAAAGAAAGAAACAACUAUCCUCAAUGUUGAUUUUUGCAUGAAAACAAUUCUUUCCCCUCCCCAAGGUUCUUCUUUGGGGGAUGGCAGGACUGAGGAGGAAGUCACCAGGCACCAGGCUGUUCUUGGGGCACAGAAUGACUCCCUUACACGACACUCUCCAGGUCCACACCCGCCCUGCUCAUACACAUAAACAGAUGGAAAAGACGACAGAGCCUGGACUACGGGUAUAGGUUUACAGCACGUUCCUGGGGUCCGAGCUCUGGGAACCCCGAGGCUCUGAGACAGUAGCUGCCCCUCAGAGCUCCCAAGUAGAGAACUCCCCAGGCUUUCCCAAACUAACCUCGGUGCCCCCUGGCUGGAAAUCUUCCUUUAGGGCUCAAUAUCCUACUUUCCUCUUGCAGCCAAGUGGCUGUGAGGAGAGAAGAGGAGGAAGCGCCAGGGAGCCCAGAGCCACCAGACAGUGACGCCACAAAGCCACAGCCAUCACACCCGCACAGGUGAAGGACACGCAACCAAAUCCCCGUCACCCCAGCACAGCCACUCACCUGUCACAGCCUCGCAGCCACACCCACGGCACGGAGGCGCAUCCCACCGCUCACUCGCGUCUCUCACACACACCCCGCCACACGCUGCCCGUCUGUCCCCACAGACACACACCGUCCUCUGCCGUUCAUGCCCGAGAGUCCCCUGAGGACUGGCGUCCUUACUACGGGCCUCCACCCUGUGAGCGCUCCCGCUGCCACCCCACCUGGUUCACGUCGGGCUCCGAAUUGACUCGCUUCACAGGAUUCCCGCAUCCUGUGCUAACACAUCCACAAACGAGCUCCACUCACCUUGCAAAGAGGGAGAAGCGCGCGAAAACGGAAUGGAAGCCGAAGAUCUGGCGUGACCGCUGCCCUCUGGCAAGUGUCGCUCCAACCUGAACCUCUCUGGGCGCGGCGGCUCGUCAGACAGGCCGCCGAAGCGCGGAAGUCCCGGUGGAACUGCAGCGGCGAGAACCGCCCGGAGCCCGGCCCCGGAGCGCGCGAUGCGAGGGCACGUGCACGGGCAAACGCCGCUGCGCCCAGGAGGCCGAGCAGGGCAGCCCGGCGCUGGUUCUGAGCCUCUGGCCUGUGCACGCAGAGUCGCACUGGAGUGUCGGGGGGCGGCCCCUGGGGCGCGAGCGCACGGCGGGUGUGAGCUCUGAGGGCGGGGCCCCGGGCGAGUCCCCUCAGGCGGCUGCAGCCUGGCGACAGCAUAUGCGGAACCUAACUCCUGAUACCGCCGGGGGCGGGCUGGUUUAUUCAGAAAGCCUGUUAGCUGCGUUUAAACGGUGUGUAGGAGUGAAGUAACACAUGUUUACUUAAUUCUCUAGGCUAAGCUAUAAUAAUAAAAAUGGAAUGAAUAUUUAAUUGUAAAGGUGCUGUGGUGAAUAUUUUGUAUAUACUUUGCAAUAUUGAUUUAGGGACAGAUUUUCCAAGCAUACCCAAAGAGAGGAAUCUUAGUAAAAUUCUAAGAGUUCACUGGAUAAUUAUUGUAAUCA